Molecule: long non-coding RNA, 238 nt
Filed under: Helianthus annuus (common sunflower)
Lineage: Eukaryota; Viridiplantae; Streptophyta; Magnoliopsida; Asterales; Asteraceae
Description: sRNA HanXRQr2_Chr17g0810621
Source: RNAcentral
GGAUGCUGUUGUCAUGCAAAGGGAAGUCGACUAGAAGGGUGAUAGCAAAACUUAGAUAUGUGGAGCUCUAUCAUUCAGCUAACAUUGUAUCGAGGGAAUGAGAGAAGGUUGUGUUGUUACAACUUGCAAGUGCGGCUAGGAGUGACAGUUUGAGACAAAAGUAUUGUUACAAGUGCUCCUAGGAGUGAGUAAUGCAAGUUAUCUUGGAGUUGCUGCACAUUUGUAUAUAUCUUUUGAU